UGACAAGGAUGGUUGACAAAGGCCACUGGCCAUGUAGGCCAGUUCAGAAGAGGGUGCCUUCCUCCUCCCUAACUUGAACUCUUUCUUCCCUGGGCAGCUGGACACCCUGCCAGCUCUUCCCGCGAGGUGAGCGACGGCAAUGGACAGAGUGAAAAACGAGAGGAGGCGGAUGGCUUGGUUCUUUGGCGGGGCCAUUCUGCUUGGGCCUUAACUCGUUUUGUACAUUUACUUGAGGAAAACAGCAAGUAACGCCUGGCCCACGGAUGCCCAGCCCUCUCCUGUCCUGCGAGUGAACGGACAUGGCUUCCCCGCUGAGCGCCCCACAGUGAGGCGAAGCUCACGGGGUGACGCCUGCUCGCCCGUGAAUCUCACACGAGCCAGUCUUCAGAAGACUGUGGCGUGGCGUGGCUCCGAGCAGAGCACAGUGACCCAGUCGGGAAGUGGUCCCCAGCUACUAUUACGGGCAGUUAUGCCCUUUAUCUCAUCAGCCUUCACUGGCUCGUCUUCGCAAGGUUCCCUUCGCUUGCUGUUUGAAGCACGAGAAGCAAGGCGGUCUUGGUGCAUGUAAACCCUUGUUCAGUCUAAUUGCAAUAGACAGAAGAGCCAAAUUUGUUUCUUGU
This is a long non-coding RNA of Phyllostomus discolor (pale spear-nosed bat), 620 nucleotides long. RefSeq lists it as uncharacterized. Lineage: Eukaryota; Metazoa; Chordata; Mammalia; Chiroptera; Phyllostomidae. The record is from RefSeq and is a predicted model, not a curated record. The transcript is spliced from 2 exons.